UACGGAGGGAGCUAGCGUUAUUCGGAAUUACUGGGCGUAAAGCGCACGUAGGCGGCUUUGUAAGUUAGAGGUGAAAGCCUGGAGCUCAACUCCAGAAUUGCCUUUAAGACUGCAUCGCUCGAAUCCAGGAGAGGUGAGUGGAAUUCCGAGUGUAGAGGUGAAAUUCGUAGAUAUUCGGAAGAACACCAGUGGCGAAGGCGGCUCACUGGACUGGUAUUGACGCUGAGGUGCGAAAGCGUGGGGAGCAAACGGG
Molecule: ribosomal RNA, 253 nt
Filed under: uncultured bacterium
Lineage: Bacteria
Description: partial 16S ribosomal RNA
Rfam family: Bacterial small subunit ribosomal RNA
Source: RNAcentral